This 241-nucleotide unclassified non-coding RNA is filed under the name Hevea brasiliensis (rubber tree). The record is from RNAcentral. Lineage: Eukaryota; Viridiplantae; Streptophyta; Magnoliopsida; Malpighiales; Euphorbiaceae.
GGGCAAUGCUUCAAGAUGGAAAGAAUUUCUGUCUGAAAGGACACGUAAUCGCCAAAAUGUUAAUCUUAUGCAGCUUGUAUAUGGGGCAUCCGAAUCCAAGUCAACUACAAAAGCUGAGUUACGACAGCAUGGCGCUGAAAAUGAUGAAAGUGAUACUGAGUUCUUCGUGCCCAAAGGGGAAGGAACAAAGAAACUCGAAGAGCAGAUGAAUGAUGAUAAUAUUGAUGCCGAGGACUGCUCC